CAGCGGGUCGUGAGCGGGACUGGCGCGCACCUGCCGCAAACCGCUCGGCUGAGCGUAUCGCGGGGUGUCUUGAAAACCGUUGGGCGCGAAAGCGCCUCGUGGGUUCGAAUUCCCACCCCGCCGC
This 124-nucleotide transfer RNA is filed under the name Actinomycetota bacterium. RNAcentral's name for it is "Actinobacteria bacterium tRNA-Ser". Lineage: Bacteria; Bacillati; Actinomycetota. The record is from RNAcentral.